This 621-nucleotide ribosomal RNA is filed under the name Devriesia sp. RNAcentral describes it as "partial large subunit ribosomal RNA". It matches the Rfam family "Eukaryotic large subunit ribosomal RNA", at positions 87 to 734 of the family's 3401-position model. Lineage: Eukaryota; Fungi; Ascomycota; Dothideomycetes; Mycosphaerellales; Teratosphaeriaceae. The record is from RNAcentral.
CGGCGAGUGAAGCGGCAACAGCUCAGAUUUGAAAUCUGGCACCCGCCCGAGUUGUAAUUUGUAGAGGAUGCUUCUAGGCAGCGGCCGGUCUAAGUUUCUUGGAACAGGACGUCAUAGAGGGUGAGAAUCCCGUAUGUGACCGGCUGGCACCUUACACGUAGCUCCUUCGACGAGUCGAGUUGUUUGGGAAUGCAGCUCUAAAUGGGAGGUAAAUUUCUUCUAAAGCUAAAUACCGGCCAGAGACCGAUAGCGCACAAGUAGAGUGAUCGAAAGAUGAAAAGCACUUUGGAAAGAGAGUUAAAAAGCACGUGAAAUUGUUAAAAGGGAAGCGCUUGCGACCAGACUUGUCGGCGGUGUUCCGCCGGUCUUCUGACCGGUCUACUCGCCGCCUGCAGGCCAGCGUCGUCUGGGGCCGCCGGAGAAAGGCGUCGGGAAUGUAGCUCCUCCGGGAGUGUUAUAGCCCGUCGCACAAUACGGUGCGCGCCGGGCGAGGUCCGCGCUUCGGCAAGGACGCUGGCGUAAUGGUCGUAAGCGGCCCGUCUUGAAACACGGACCAAGGAGUCGAUCAAUCGUGCGAGUGUUCGGGUGGAAAACCCUUGCGCGCAAUGAAAGUGAACGGAG